RNAcentral lists this ribosomal RNA (1793 nucleotides) under Escherichia coli. RNAcentral's name for it is "partial 23S ribosomal RNA". It matches the Rfam family "Bacterial large subunit ribosomal RNA", at positions 1 to 1812 of the family's 2925-position model. Lineage: Bacteria; Pseudomonadati; Pseudomonadota; Gammaproteobacteria; Enterobacterales; Enterobacteriaceae. The record is from RNAcentral.
GGGUUGUGAGGUUAAGCGACUAAGCGUACACGGUGGAUGCCCUGGCAGUCAGAGGCGAUGAAGGACGUGCUAAUCUGCGAUAAGCGUCGGUGAGGUGAUAUGAACCGUUAUAACCGGCGAUUUCCGAAUGGGGAAACCCAGUGUGUUUCGACACACUAUCAUUAACUGAAUCCAUAGGUUAAUGAGGCGAACCGGGGGAACUGAAACAUCUAAGUACCCCGAGGAAAAGAAAUCAACCGAGAUUCCCCCAGUAGCGGCGAGCGAACGGGGAGGAGCCCAGAGCCUGAAUCAGUGUGUGUGUUAGUGGAAGCGUCUGGAAAGGCGUGCGAUACAGGGUGACAGCCCCGUACACAAAAAUGCACAUAUUGUGAGCUCGAUGAGUAGGGCGGGACACGUGGUAUCCUGUCUGAAUAUGGGGGGACCAUCCUCCAAGGCUAAAUACUCCUGACUGACCGAUAGUGAACCAGUACCGUGAGGGAAAGGCGAAAAGAACCCCGGCGAGGGGAGUGAAAAAGAACCUGAAACCGUGUACGUACAAGCAGUGGGAGCCUCUUAAUGGGGUGACUGCGUACCUUUUGUAUAAUGGGUCAGCGACUUAUAUUCUGUAGCAAGGUUAACCGAAUAGGGGAGCCGAAGGGAAACCGAGUCUUAACUGGGCGUUAAGUUGCAGGGUAUAGACCCGAAACCCGGUGAUCUAGCCAUGGGCAGGUUGAAGGUUGGGUAACACUAACUGGAGGACCGAACCGACUAAUGUUGAAAAAUUAGCGGAUGACUUGUGGCUGGGGGUGAAAGGCCAAUCAAACCGGGAGAUAGCUGGUUCUCCCCGAAAGCUAUUUAGGUAGCGCCUCGUGAAUUCAUCUCCGGGGGUAGAGCACUGUUUCGGCAAGGGGGUCAUCCCGACUUACCAACCCGAUGCAAACUGCGAAUACCGGAGAAUGUUAUCACGGGAGACACACGGCGGGUGCUAACGUCCGUCGUGAAGAGGGAAACAACCCAGACCGCCAGCUAAGGUCCCAAAGUCAUGGUUAAGUGGGAAACGAUGUGGGAAGGCCCAGACAGCCAGGAUGUUGGCUUAGAAGCAGCCAUCAUUUAAAGAAAGCGUAAUAGCUCACUGGUCGAGUCGGCCUGCGCGGAAGAUGUAACGGGGCUAAACCAUGCACCGAAGCUGCGGCAGCGACACUAUGUGUUGUUGGGUAGGGGAGCGUUCUGUAAGCCUGUGAAGGUGGCCUGUGAGGGUUGCUGGAGGUAUCAGAAGUGCGAAUGCUGACAUAAGUAACGAUAAAGCGGGUGAAAAGCCCGCUCGCCGGAAGACCAAGGGUUCCUGUCCAACGUUAAUCGGGGCAGGGUGAGUCGACCCCUAAGGCGAGGCCGAAAGGCGUAGUCGAUGGGAAACAGGUUAAUAUUCCUGUACUUGGUGUUACUGCGAAGGGGGGACGGAGAAGGCUAUGUUGGCCGGGCGACGGUUGUCCCGGUUUAAGCGUGUAGGCUGGUUUUCCAGGCAAAUCCGGAAAACCAAGGCUGAGGCGUGAUGACGAGGCACUACGGUGCUGAAGCGACAAAUGCCCUGCUUCCAGGAAAAGCCUCUAAGCAUCAGGUAACAUCAAAUCGUACCCCAAACCGACACAGGUGGUCAGGUAGAGAAUACCAAGGCGCUUGAGAGAACUCGGGUGAAGGAACUAGGCAAAAUGGUGCCGUAACUUCGGGAGAAGGCACGCUGAUAUGUAGGUGAAGCGACUUGCUCGUGGAGCUGAAAUCAGUCGAAGAUACCAGCUGGCUGCAACUGUUUAUUAAAA